Molecule: ribosomal RNA, 443 nt
Filed under: uncultured bacterium
Lineage: Bacteria
Description: partial 16S ribosomal RNA
Rfam family: Bacterial small subunit ribosomal RNA
Source: RNAcentral
CCUACGGGUGGCAGCAGUGGGGAAUAUUGCACAAUGGGCGAAAGCCUGAUGCAGCAACGCCGCGUGAAGGAAGAAGGGUUUCGGCUCGUAAACUUCUAUCAACAGGGACGAAAGAAAUGACGGUACCUGAAUAAGAAGCCCCGGCUAACUACGUGCCAGCAGCCGCGGUAAUACGUAGGGGGCAAGCGUUAUCCGGAAUUACUGGGUGUAAAGGGUGAGUAGGCGGCAUGGUAAGCCAGAUGUGAAAGCCUUGGGCUUAACCCGAGGAUUGCAUUUGGAACUAUCAAGCUAGAGUACAGGAGAGGAAAGCGGAAUUCCAUGUGAAGCGGGGAAAUGCGGAGAUAUAAGGAAGAACACCAGAGGCGAAGGCAGAUGACUGGACGGCAACUGACGGUGAGGCGCGAAAGCGUGGGGAGCAAACAGGAUUAGAUACCCGAGUAGUC